RNAcentral lists this long non-coding RNA (404 nucleotides) under Mytilus galloprovincialis (Mediterranean mussel). Lineage: Eukaryota; Metazoa; Mollusca; Bivalvia; Mytilida; Mytilidae. The record is from RNAcentral.
AGCGGUAACAGGAAAGACAUGAACCUCCUGUACGCAGAUUCAAUUUAGUUUGUAGAUAAUAUGUUACAUACAAUGAUAUAGAAGCUACGAUUUUUCGUUAGAGUAAUAUUAAACGUUCUUAAAAAGUCCCUUUUGCAGAUAUCAAGGCGAUCAGAAAAUCGCAAAAAAAAUCAUUUGAAAUGUGUUUUUCUGACACUGUACGCAGACAAAUACCCCCAAAAUGGUCUUAAAUGCAGUUUAAUCUUAUCAAAAUAGAUGUAAGGUGUGUUUAUUAUUAAUGUUCUGAAUCACAAAUCCGACAAGCUUUCAUUUAAACCAUUACAACUGAAAUUUCCAUUAGAAAUAAAAAAGUUAGCAUGGGUGUACUGAAAAUUCGACAUUUUUUGAAAACGACCCAUAUAUCA